AGCAGCCGCGGUAAUUCCAGCUCUAAUAGCGUAUAUUAAAGUUGUUGCAGUUAAAAAGCUCGUAGUUGAAUUUCGGGGUCAGUAGGUCGGUCGUGCCACUGGUAUGAACUGGUUUUACUGAUUCCUCCCUCUUGAAGAACUGUAAUGCCAUUAAUUUGGUGUUGCAGGGAAUCAGGACUGUUACUUUGAAAAAAUUAGAGUGUUUAAAGCAGGCUUUAGCUUGAAUACAUUAGCAUGGAAUAAUGAAAUAGGACGUUUGAUCCUAUUUUGUUGGUUUCUAGGAUUGACGUAAUGAUUAAUAGGGAUAGUUGGGGGCAUUAGUAUUCAAUUGUCAGAGGUGAAAUUCUUGGAUUUAUUGAAGACUAACUACUGCGAAAGCAUUUGCCAAGGAUGUUUUCAUUAAUCAAGGACGAAAGUUAGGGGAUCGACGACGAUCAGAUACCGUCGUAGUCUUAACCAUAAACUAUGCCGACUAGGGAUCGGAUGAUGUUAAUUUUUUAAUGACUCAUUCGGCGCCUUA
This 520-nucleotide ribosomal RNA is filed under the name uncultured Glomus. RNAcentral's name for it is "SSU rRNA". It matches the Rfam family "Eukaryotic small subunit ribosomal RNA", at positions 569 to 1090 of the family's 1831-position model. Lineage: Eukaryota; Fungi; Glomeromycota; Glomeromycetes; Glomerales; Glomeraceae. The record is from RNAcentral.